AUUGAACGCUGGCGGCAGGCCUAACACAUGCAAGUCGAACGCGUGGCGGACGGGUGAGUAAUGUCUGGGAAACUGCCUGAUGGAGGGGGAUAACUACUGGAAACGGUAUCUAAUACCGCAUACCCUCAGAUGUGCCCAGAUGGGAUUAGCUAGUUGGUGGGGUAACGGCUCACCAAGGCGACGAUCCCUAGCUGGUCUGAGAGGAUGACCAGCCACACUGGAACGGAGACACGGGCCAGACUCCUAGGGGGGGCAGCAGGGGGGAAUAUUGCACAAUGGGCGAAAGCCGGAUGCAGCCAGGCCGGGUGUAUGAAGAAGGCCUUCGGGUUGUAAAGUACUUUCAGCGGGGAGGCGUUACCCGCAGAAGAAGCACCGGCUAACUCCGUGCCAGCAGCCGCGGUAAAC
Molecule: ribosomal RNA, 405 nt
Filed under: uncultured bacterium
Lineage: Bacteria
Description: partial 16S ribosomal RNA
Rfam family: Bacterial small subunit ribosomal RNA
Source: RNAcentral